GCUAAUAUCAUGAAUGCAUGAUUGGAUGUCCGAUCGCAACACUGUGGUUAUAAGCACCUGAAUUGCAAUUUGGUCCUGCUAUUUCGAAUUAAAGUAACGAACAAGCUAUAUUUCUGAGAGUAAUGUUACGUAACUCAAGAAAGUUCCACCAAUCAUAAUUGAAAUAAAAUAGGAGUGAUAUAUGUUGUGCAAAACGCCUUAAUGAACACAUUUACAUUAAAAAUAAAUAAAUAAAUAAAUAAAUAAAUAAAAUGUGCCUUGAUGGUGAGCUUUGUUUGUCGUGUUACCAACCCUCCAAUUAAGAACUUGUAAUAUAGAAGCUUUGUGGGGAAGCUGCUGGUUGUCUUGGCCCCAUCCAGG
Paramuricea clavata is the source of this 360-nucleotide non-coding RNA. The record is from the annotation of a GenBank genome assembly. Lineage: Eukaryota; Metazoa; Cnidaria; Anthozoa; Malacalcyonacea; Plexauridae.